GACGAACGCUGGCGGCGUGCCUAACACAUGCAAGUCGAACGGAAGUAAGUGCUUCGGUAUUUACCUUAGUGGCGAACGGGUGAGUAACGCGUGGGUAACCUGCCUCAUGCAGGGGGAUAACAGUUAGAAAUGACUGCUAAUACCGCAUAAGCGCACGGAUUCGCAUGUUUCUGUGUGAAAAGAUUUAUCGGCAUGAGAUGGACCCGCGUCUGAUUAGGUAGUUGGUGGGGUAACGGCCUACCAAGCCGACGAUCAGUAGCCGACUUGAGAGAGUGAUCGGCCACAAUGGAACUGAGACACGGUCCAU
This 307-nucleotide ribosomal RNA is filed under the name uncultured bacterium. RNAcentral describes it as "bacterial SSU rRNA". It matches the Rfam family "Bacterial small subunit ribosomal RNA", at positions 28 to 334 of the family's 1533-position model. The record is from RNAcentral.